RNAcentral lists this transfer RNA (66 nucleotides) under Camelus bactrianus (Bactrian camel). It matches the Rfam family "tRNA". From Rfam's summary of the family: Transfer RNA (tRNA) molecules are approximately 80 nucleotides in length. The record is from Rfam by way of RNAcentral. Lineage: Eukaryota; Metazoa; Chordata; Mammalia; Artiodactyla; Camelidae. RNAcentral also lists the same sequence under 2 other names.
GGUAUAUCUCAGUGGUAGAGUGCAUGCUUACAAUGCAUGAAGUCCUGGGUUCAAUCCCCUAGUACC